GCGGCUACUGCUAUCAGGUUUCGACUAAGCCAUGCGAGUCAAGGGGUCGUAAGACACCGGCGUACUGCUCAGUAACACGCGGACAAUCUACCCCCAGGUGGAGGAUAACCUCGGGAAACUGAGGCUAAUACCCCAUAGUUGUCAUGUGCUGGAAUGCUUCGACGAUGAAAGAAUUUCGCCUGAGGAUGAGUCUGCGGCCUAUCAGGUAGUAUGUGGUGUAAAGGACCACAUAGCCUAAGACGGGUACGGGCCUUGAAAGAGGGAGCCCGGAGAUGGACUCUGAGACACUAGUCCAGGCCCUACGGGGCGCAGCAGGCGCGAAAACUGUGCAAUGCGCGCAAGCGCGACACGGGAAGCCUGAGUGCCUUAACUAUGUUGAGGCUUUUCUUGAUCCUAAAAAGCUCAAGGAAUAAGAGCUGGGUAAGACGGGUGCCAGCCGCCGCGGUAACACCCGCGGCUCGAGUGGUAGUCACUUUUAUUGAGCCUAAAGCGUUUGUAGCCGGAUUUGUAAAUCUCUAGGAAAAUACUUCUGCUUAACUGAAGAAAUUUUGGAGAGACUGCAAAUCUAGGGACCGGGUGAGGUUGAAUGUACUUCUGGGGUAGGGGUAAAAUCCUGUAAUCCUGGAAGGACGACCGGUGGCGAAGGCGUUCAACUAGAACGGAUCCGACGGUGAGGAACGAAGGCUAGGGGAGCAAACCGGAUUAGAUACCCGGGUAGUCCUAGCUGUAAACACUGCCCACUUGGUGUUGCAUCUCCGGUAAGGGGGUGCAGUGCCGUAGCGAAGGUGUUAAGUGGGCCGCUUGGGGAGUAUGGUCGCAAGGCUGAAACUUAA
This 833-nucleotide ribosomal RNA is filed under the name archaeon enrichment culture. RNAcentral describes it as "bacterial SSU rRNA". It matches the Rfam family "Archaeal small subunit ribosomal RNA", at positions 20 to 859 of the family's 1478-position model. The record is from RNAcentral.